Molecule: ribosomal RNA, 460 nt
Filed under: uncultured bacterium
Lineage: Bacteria
Description: partial 16S ribosomal RNA
Rfam family: Bacterial small subunit ribosomal RNA
Source: RNAcentral
CCUACGGGAGGCAGCAGUGAGGAAUAUUGGUCAAUGGACGCGAGUCUGAACCAGCCAAGUAGCGUGAAGGAUGACUGCCCUAUGGGUUGUAAACUUCUUUUAUAUGGGAGUAAACUGUUCCACGUGUGGGUUUUUGUAUGUACCAUAUGAAUAAGGAUCGGCUAACUCCGUGCCAGCAGCCGCGGUAAUACGGAGGGUGCAAGCGUUGUCCGGAAUCAUUGGGCGUAAAGGGUUCGUAGGCGGCAUGUUAAGUCAGGUGUUAAAGGCGCAGGCUCAACCUGUGUAUUGCACUUGAUACUUUCAAGCUGGAAUGCGGUAGCGGUAAAGGGAAUGCCUGGUGUAGCGGUGAAAUGCUUAGAGAUCAGGAGGAACAUCGGUGGCGUAAGCGCUUUACUGGGCCGUAAUUGACGCUGAGGAACGAAAGCGAGGGUAGCAAACGGGAUUAGAUACCCGUGUAGUC